AUUGAACGCUGGCGGCAUGCCUUACACAUGCAAGUCGAACGGUAACAGGUUAAGCUGACGAGUGGCUAACGGGUGAGUAAUGUAUCGGAACGUGCCCAGUCGUGGGGGAUAACUGCUCGAAAGAGCAGCUAAUACCGCAUACGACCUGAGGGUGAAAGCGGGGGAUCGCAAGACCUCGCGCGAUUGGAGCGGCCGAUAUCAGAUUAGGUAGUUGGUGAGGUAAAGGCUCACCAAGCCGACGAUCUGUAGCUGGUCUGAGAGGACGACCAGCCACACUGGGACUGAGACACGGCCCAGACUCCUACGGGAGGCAGCAGUGGGGAAUUUUGGACAAUGGGCGCAAGCCUGAUCCAGCCGUGCCGCGUGCGGGAAGAAGGCCUUCGGGUUGUAAACCGCUUUUGUCAGGGAAGAAAAGGUUCUGGCUAAUACCUGGGACUCAUGACGGUACCUGAAGAAUAAGCACCGGCUAACUACGUG
Molecule: ribosomal RNA, 477 nt
Filed under: uncultured bacterium
Lineage: Bacteria
Description: partial 16S ribosomal RNA
Rfam family: Bacterial small subunit ribosomal RNA
Source: RNAcentral